GAUGAACGCUGGCGGCGUGCCUAAUACAUGCAAGUCGAGCGAAAAGACGAGGAGCUUGCUCCUCUAACGUUAGCGGCGGGCGGGUGGGUAACACGUGGAUCACCUACCUCUAUGACUGGGAUAACAACGGGAGAAAGGAGAUGCUACCAGAGAAUAUGUUGAACCGCAUGGAGCAAUAGUGAAAGGCGCUUUUGCUGUUACUUAUAGAUGGAUCCGCGCCGCAUUAGCUAGUUGGUAAGGUAACGGCUUACCAAGGCAACGAUGCGUAGCCGACCUGAGAGGGUGAUCGGCCACACUGGAACUGAGACACGGUCCAGACUCCUACGGGAGGCAGCAGUGGGGAAUCUUCCGCAAUGGGCGAAAGCCUGACGGAGCAACGCCGCGUGAGUGAUGAAGGUCUUCGGAUCGUAAAACUCUGUUAUUAGGGAAGAACAAAUGUGUAAGUAACUAUGCACGUCUUGACGGUACCUAAUCAGAAAGCCACGGCUAACUACGUG
Molecule: ribosomal RNA, 497 nt
Filed under: uncultured bacterium
Lineage: Bacteria
Description: partial 16S ribosomal RNA
Rfam family: Bacterial small subunit ribosomal RNA
Source: RNAcentral